CCUACGGGUGGCAGCAGUGGGGAAUAUUGGACAAUGGCGGGAACCCUGAUCCAGCGACGCCGCGUGAGUGAAGAAGUAUUUCGGUAUGUAAAGCUCUAUCAGCCGGGAAGAAAGAAAUGACGGUACCUGACUAAGAAGGCCCGGCUAACUACGUGACAGCAGACGCGGUAAUACGUAGGGGGCAAGCGUUAUCCGGAUUUACGGGGUGUAAAGGUAGCGUAGACGGCGAUGCAAGUCUGAGGUGAAAGGCGGGGGCCCAACGCCCGGACUGCCUUGGAAACUGUAUGGCUGGAGUGCAGGAGAGGUAAGUGGAAUGCCUGGUGUAGCGGUGAAAGGCGUAGAUAUUAGGCGGAACACCAGUGGCGAAGGCGGCUUACGGGACUGUAACUGACGUUGAGGCUCGAAAGCGUGGGGAGCAAACAGGAUUAGAUACCCUUGUAGUC
RNAcentral lists this ribosomal RNA (443 nucleotides) under uncultured bacterium. RNAcentral describes it as "partial 16S ribosomal RNA". It matches the Rfam family "Bacterial small subunit ribosomal RNA", at positions 338 to 795 of the family's 1533-position model. The record is from RNAcentral.